This 2158-nucleotide long non-coding RNA is filed under the name Heterocephalus glaber (naked mole-rat). Its description in RNAcentral is "lncRNA (ENSHGLG00000040853.1)". Lineage: Eukaryota; Metazoa; Chordata; Mammalia; Rodentia; Bathyergidae. The record is from RNAcentral.
AGGGUUGGGAAUGGGAGUAAAGGGCAAGAGGGCUGACACAGGUAUGUUUCUAACCCAUAAGUACCCUAACUAACCUUCUUGAGCCAAACCGAAUGGUCAUAGAAACAGUAAAAGGUUAGGAUUUAAGAGCUAGGGAAAGGGGAGUCCUCAACCACUACUAACCCUCAGGCCAGCUUUCUUCAUGGUACUGAUUUAUUUAGCCAGAGGGUACAGCCUGCUUAAACCCAAAUUCCCCUCAGUGGAGAGAGACCAAAGACCCUGUGGAAUGUCCCUGGUCCCAGCCUCUAUCUUCAGGUCAAUGAAAAAAAAAAAAAGAUCUGAGUCCCCCAGGUCUGGGAAGGAUUUGGAGGGGUCAAGAAAGGAGUGGUUAAGUAGGCUGAAGGUUACAGGGCAUUUGAAUCCAAAUCACUGCUCUGGGCUAGGGAAUAGAGCCAGCAGACCAAGGUGGAAGGGAUUCUAGAGGGGGACAUUUUAGUCCCCCAACCCCAAAGCUCAGGGUAGGAGGGAAAACAAGGGAGCAGAUUGUCUAUAAUAUUUUUUAUUUUUGGAAUACAGCAGUAUCUGGCAGCAGGGAGGGAACAGUACAGUGGGGAAAGGCAUCUGACAAGGCCAGUUACAGCAGAGGAUGGGAAGGACAGAGACUCCCUGGUUUGGAAGGAUAGGAAGCAGGCAGACUGGCUGCCACUUCAAGUCAUUAGCUGGGCCCAUUCAUUCAUCCCACAAUCCUGAUGCACACUCCUCUGGACUCACUGGGCCUCAGUUUCUUCCCCUCAAUGGAAUGAGAAAUAGCAGCACCCGCCACAGCCAAGAGAUGAAUUCUGAGCACUUACCACGGGCACUUUAUGGACAUAAAAUACCUCUCGCUGUGGGACCAGAUAACCAGGGCACCAGAGCAGUGGUGAAGAGAUGUGAGGCUUAGAGGAGUCACUGGCUUCAGAGAAUACACGUUUCCUCCUGCCUGCCAGCUGGAGUGCCUGAAGCCAAGGAGUUGAGAAUCUCCAUACCCUACCCAUACCUCACCAGCUGACCUCUUGGCUCCAGGCUAGAGCCUAGAGAAUGUCAGGAGAGGAGGGGGUGAAAACCUGCAGCAAAAUUACCACUCUAAAUAAAUCCAGCAGUUAUGGUCUGGUAGCAACAGUACUGAACUGAAGUAAAGCCCAUGCUGGAGAGCAAACCUGGAAGGCUUAUUCUUCCUAAGCAUAUGUCUCUCCUGCUUGGACUGGACCAUGGAAGGGGCAAAGGUAUGUGGUCACCCUGGGAAAGUAAUAUUGGUGAGCUUGAGCAUCUUACUCCUAUACUCAUAGUGAGAAAAUGAGACAAGGUGUUUCAGUAGAGGAAUAAGCAGGAGCUGUUAAGCUUUUCAACUAACCUCCCAUAUAGCAGCUAUGUCAACCCCAAGCCUCUCCUCUCUGGCCUUGUUCUUCAUCCUUUCUGCCUCAAUGGAGAAUAAGACACCUGAUGAUCAAUACCAUUUACAUUUCCUUGGCAGUAGGAGGAGUAGGAAGAGUGAAGAUAAUUCCCCAAAGGUCAAAUACCUCUUGAUCUUGGGACAGGGUAGGGAUUGGGCAGUAAGCAUCAGGUAACUUCCCUCUACAGAGUCUAGAGAGCUGGGGCAUUAAACUUGGGGGACACUUAAAAAUACUGCCCCUUGAGUACCACCAAAUAAAGAUCUUUGCGAGACAGGAGGGGGAGUUCCUUUUACGAAUAUAAGUCUAUGAGUUGAAGUCUCAGUCCACUGUUCUUCCUUAUCCCCAAAAAGCAUGGGAUAGAGAGGCUUGGGGACACAGCCCAGCAACCCAGCGGGAGCAACCCUCCUCCACCUUAUUUGUGUGAACCUGGCCAGCGCCCCUCUGAACAUAUUAUUAGUGUGAUUAUUUACUUUGUGUAUUUGUUACAUCAUGUGCGUGAUUGCCUUUGUUAAGAAUGUCUGAGGAAUAUGGGGCUGACAGGGCAUUGGAAUGCCGGGAAAGGACUUCUUCACUGAAAUCAAGGCUUCCUGGAAGGAACCAUUGCAAAAAGGCCAUCAGGCAGUUUUCAAGUUAUGUGACAAGAGGGCAAAGAUGGCCAUAGGGUGCUCUGAGUUUUGGGAUGGUCACAUGACACAAUCCAGCACUUGAACCUGAAAAAAGAAAAAUAAAAGCAGUCAAAGAGUUUAGAA